Molecule: small RNA, 181 nt
Filed under: Pseudofrankia asymbiotica
Lineage: Bacteria; Bacillati; Actinomycetota; Actinomycetes; Frankiales; Frankiaceae
Description: Frankia asymbiotica c-di-AMP sequence
Rfam family: c-di-AMP riboswitch aptamer (ydaO/yuaA leader)
About the family: This family represents a conserved RNA structure found upstream of the ydaO and yuaA genes in Bacillus subtilis and related genes in other bacteria. The ydaO/yuaA element is thought to act as a genetic "off" switch for the ydaO and yuaA genes in its native state. It is believed that the element may be triggered during osmotic shock leading to activation of ydaO, a predicted amino acid transporter gene, and members of the yuaA-yubG operon which code for KtrA and KtrB K+ transporters.
Source: Rfam by way of RNAcentral
UCCGAGAGAUCGCCAGGGCAGAAAUGGGGGAACCACGUUCCUCCGGGCGGCGCCACGCGGCGCCGCCCUUGGGGUUAAGUCGGCCAUUCAAAGGCGUUUAUUCGACGCGCCCGAAAAUAGCCGGCCGGGCUUCCCGGCCCGAACCCGACAGCUAACCUCACAGGCGUGCGGGAAAGAUAUC